UCUAUGAGAAUGGGUAAGGAUGUUAUCAGAAAGCUCUCUGAAUUUGCUGCUUCACACUUCAAGAUCAGCACUGAAGAAGGUCUCCAUAAGAUUGAAGAAUUGGAAAAGCACAAGAUCAUCAUCAAGGAAAUCUGGGGCUGAGUGAAAUAGGUGC
Molecule: non-coding RNA, 154 nt
Filed under: Aristerostoma sp. ATCC 50986
Lineage: Eukaryota; Ciliophora; Colpodea; Cyrtolophosidida; Cyrtolophosididae
Source: RNAcentral